Molecule: long non-coding RNA, 423 nt
Filed under: Mytilus galloprovincialis (Mediterranean mussel)
Lineage: Eukaryota; Metazoa; Mollusca; Bivalvia; Mytilida; Mytilidae
Source: RNAcentral
CCGAGAUAAUAUUUAUAGCUUUUGACACAUACGUUAAACAUUAAACCAAACAUGCCAAAAGAAAAGAAAGAAUAAAAAAACAAUUUAGUAAAUAAUAACCAGUUAAGUUAAAUAUAAAACUUUGGUUUGUGAUGGAUUUACCUCUAAAGACCAUAGCAUUUAGUACAACAAUGGAAUAAACCAUCAAGUCUUUUUAUAUAUAUAAUUUGAAUAAUUAAUAUGAAUUAGAUAGGCAACAUUAAAAACCAUAUCAUGAUUUACGAACAAUGCAUGUAUACAAACAGGCCAUAAAAUUAAAACACAAUUUGGUAGCCUAUCGAAUGAUCGCAUUGACAGUCUGAACAAUGUGUAAAGACAGCACCGGCAGGAUGACGGCAAUAAAGACACAAUCGUAUGAAAUAAAGAUCCUAAACGUUUUAGCAG